Molecule: long non-coding RNA, 2102 nt
Organism: Anas platyrhynchos (mallard)
Lineage: Eukaryota; Metazoa; Chordata; Aves; Anseriformes; Anatidae
Source: RefSeq, a predicted model, not a curated record
UACACCAACUCUCAGCACCUGCGUGACCCUGUGGCAAGGAGAUAAAUGGCUCAGAUGUGAAGAGCCAUCUCUAUGUGAUCCCCCGACAUCAGCCUUCUCUGCACCUUCCCCAGGCAUCCCAAGAGCUUCCUGGCAAUGCCGUGGCUGUUUCAAGCCAGGUUUGUGUCUGCAAUAGACCUGGCAAUACAGGCAGAAAGCAUCUCCAUCACAAAAGUGGCCAGGGGUAUCUGAGCACAGGAAUUCAGCGGAGCCACAAGAAGGCUGAGAGAACAAAAACCCCGGGAUUUCAGCAAGGGCCCUCGCUUCCGUGAGCUCUCUGCCAGGCUUGGAAAUGCACCAGCUGUGAUGAAGAACCCAUGGAAGAGAGAGCAGGAGCUGGACAGGGGUUCCCAGCCUCAGUGUGGGACCAGGCACCAUGGAUGAGCGAUGAAAUGAGGCAGGACUGACAAGAAGACAGAGGGAGAGCAAGAGGACACUGCAAGCAGGUCAUAGCAGCUGCGGGGAUGGGAAGAAGAAGGUGUCAGUGAUUUGGUGAAGUGGAGCUUGGCUGUGGCUGUUGAGCCAGUGCAAAAUUUCCCAAGCUGUGAUGGAGACCAACAGCAUGGUUCACAGCUCUCCAAGCCUUAGACCUUCCCUUCAAACAGAAGGGAAGGUACAGGGGUGAAAGGACUCAUGGAAACAUUACUAAGUCUGCAGAGAGUAGCAAUUGACCAUAAAUAAUUGCCAGCAAAUCCAUGAUAAUGAUGGCUGACCAUGCCAAGGAGAGAAGUUGGCUAGGCCCUGGAGAUUUCAUCUAGAUAGAUUAAUCAGGUUUGGCUUCCUCUUUUUGCUUUCCCCCUCCGUGUUUAAGGAAGAUGAAACAAAAUGAUUAGAGACACAGAAAGGAAGUAAUACGAUAACAUUAAAUGGAGACUAUUCUUAAGAAAUAGAAGAAAGAAAAAAAUAAUAAUAAAAAACAAAGACAAGAGUAUGUCCUGGUCAACAUAAAUCCAUGAGCAUCUCCUGGAGAAGCUGGCUCUUCUACAAGGUGUGCUGCGCCAUUAAGAAGAGGUAAUGGCUACUUCUAUUGUAGUAAAUAAAAUAGGAUGAAGAAUGGGUUCAAAAACUGCCAAAUGGCCAUCAGAAUGGUUUCAUCUCCUCAUGAGGUUUUGGUCUGGUUUGUGUCAAUGAAUGGUCCCUAACAAAGCCUGGGAAUGCUGCAAGGGUACAUGCCAGGUUUUCCCCAGUUUUCUAAACUACUGCCUGGCUUUCCCUUUCUCCCUCCAAAGGGAAAAGCUUUGCAGUGCCAUUCCUCAUCUGACACUUGUCAUCAGGGUUUGACUUUGAGCGGUGAGUCUUCGGUUAACCUGCAAGAUGCAGAAUGAUUCCUGGUGCAAUCAGCCCGUGGCUGCUUCCUGAGUGUAUUUAUUAUACAUUAUUAUUAUUAUUAUUAUUUAUUUCCUUCUGUGCUGGAUUUUGCAGAAGGGAAACCUGGGCAUGGAAACCAGAAAGGAGCUGUGCUGGGCUAUCACAGGCGAGACCUCAGUGCCCAGCCCAACAUGGGCACGGACCUGACACUUAAUGGAGACUGUCUGAUGAGACGGUGCUGUUAUGCUCCAGGGGACCACUGCUGUGGGAUCAAAACCUCACAUUGCAAUGAUGCUGCCAGAACACUGCAUUGAUCCUCUGGUUUUAUUUGGGUGCAGAGUAGAAAAUGGCUUUCCUGAUGUCUCAGGCUAGGGGAAAACCAAGAGCAACAGCUAGAAAUCUGCACCCUAGCACAUGAAUCUGGGGCUGAGGAAGCUCCUCCAGAGGGCAAGGUAUAUCAGGGACUUCCAGGGGAAAGGGACUGGAGCUAUCAGCAAUCCCAUUUCGAUAGGCUCUCUGGUGAACUUGGCCCCUGCAGUUUCAGCUCAUGAGAUCAUCCACUUCCCGAAGGUUAGGUUGGAACAACAUUUCACCACUGAUGGAAACCUCAAAGCAAAGCAAACCCACUGAAGCCAUAAUUAUGUCUUUAUUGUCCAGGGCCAAGCUGUGUGCGGCCUGGCAGCGUGCCUUUCAUUCUGCAGAGACGAUUACAUUUAUACUACAUUACACAUUGUGGGUUGGGGUUGGUAGUGCCG